This 1102-nucleotide ribosomal RNA is filed under the name Clostridium cochlearium. Its description in RNAcentral is "bacterial SSU rRNA". It matches the Rfam family "Bacterial small subunit ribosomal RNA", at positions 60 to 1199 of the family's 1533-position model. The record is from RNAcentral. Lineage: Bacteria; Bacillati; Bacillota; Clostridia; Eubacteriales; Clostridiaceae.
AGUCGAGCGAUGAAGCUUCCUUCGGGAAGUGGAUUAGCGGCGGACGGGUGAGUAACACGUGGGCAACCUGCCUCAAAGAGGGGAAUAGCCCUCCGAAAGGAGGAUUAAUACCGCAUAAAGUUAGAGUUUCGCAUGAAACUUUAACCAAAGGAGUAAUCCGCUUUGAGAUGGGCCCGCGUCCCAUUAGCUAGUUGGUAAGGUAAUGGCUUACCAAGGCAACGAUGGGUAGCCGACCUGAGAGGGUGAUCGGCCACAUUGGAACUGAGACACGGUCCAGACUCCUACGGGAGGCAGCAGUGGGGAAUAUUGCGCAAUGGGGGAAACCCUGACGCAGCAACGCCGCGUGGGUGAUGAAGGUUUUCGGAUCGUAAAACCCUGUUUUCUGGGACGAUAAUGACGGUACCAGAUGAGGAAGCCACGGCUAACUACGUGCCAGCAGCCGCGGUAAUACGUAGGUGGCAAGCGUUGUCCGGAUUUACUGGGCGUAAAGGGUGCGUAGGCGGAUGCUUAAGUGAGAUGUGAAAUACCUAGGCUUAACUUAGGGGCUGCAUUUCAAACUGGGCAUCUAGAGUACAGGAGAGGGAAACGGAAUUCCUAGUGUAGCGGUGAAAUGCGUAGAGAUUAGGAAGAACACCAGUGGCGAAGGCGGUUUCCUGGACUGUAACUGACGCUGAGGCACGAAAGCGUGGGUAGCAAACAGGAUUAGAUACCCUGGUAGUCCACGCCGUAAACGAUGAAUACUAGGUGUAGGAGGGUCCAACCUUCUGUGCCGCAGUUAACACAUUAAGUAUUCCGCCUGGGGAGUACGGUCGCAAGACUAAAACUCAAAGGAAUUGACGGGGGCCCGCACAAGCAGCGGAGCAUGUGGUUUAAUUCGAAGCAACGCGAAGAACCUUACCUGGACUUGACAUCCCCUGAAUUACUCGUAACUGAGGAAAUCUCUUCGGAGACAGGGAGACAGGUGGUGCAUGUUGUCGUCAGCUCGUGUCGUGAGAUGUUGGGUAAGUCCCGCAACGAGCGCAACCCUAUAUAGUGCUACAUAGUGAGCACUCUAUGAGACUGCCCGUGACGGGAGAGGUGGGAUGACGUCAAUCAUCAUGCC